RNAcentral lists this ribosomal RNA (536 nucleotides) under uncultured bacterium. RNAcentral describes it as "bacterial SSU rRNA". It matches the Rfam family "Bacterial small subunit ribosomal RNA", at positions 1 to 524 of the family's 1533-position model. The record is from RNAcentral.
CUCGAGGCCAGAUCUAGAGUUUGAUCCUGGCUGAGAGUGAACGCUGGCGGCAGGCCUAACACAUGCAAGUCGAGCGGCAGCGGGUCCUUCGGGAUGCCGGCGAGCGGCGGACGGGUGAGGAAUACAUCGGAAUCUGCCCUGUCGUGGGGGAUAACCUAGGGAAACUUAGGCUAAUACCGCAUACGACCUACGGGUGAAAGCGGGGGAUCGCAAGACCUCGCGCGACAGGAUGAGCCGAUGUCCGAUUAGCUAGUUGGCGGGGUAAAGGCCCACCAAGGCGACGAUCGGUAGCUGGUCUGAGAGGAUGAUCAGCCACACUGGGACUGAGACACGGCCCAGACUCCUACGGGAGGCAGCAGUGGGGAAUAUUGGACAAUGGGCGCAAGCCUGAUCCAGCCAUGCCGCGUGGGUGAAGAAGGCCUUCGGGUUGUAAAGCCCUUUUGUCCGGGAAGAAAUCGUCUGGGCUAAUACCCCGGGCGGAUGACGGUACCGGAAGAAUAAGCACCGGCUAACUUCGUGCCAGCAGCCGCGGUAAU